GAUGAACGCUGGCGGCGUGCUUAACACAUGCAAGUCGAACGGUGAAGCAGGAGCUUGCUCUUGUGGAUCAGUGGCGAACGGGUGAGUAACACGUGAGCAACCUGCCCCUGACUCUGGGAUAAGCGCUGGAAACGGCGUCUAAUACUGGAUAUGUGAUGUGACCGCAUGGUCUGCAUCUGGAAAGAAUUUCGGUUGGGGAUGGGCUCGCGGCCUAUCAGCUUGUUGGUGAGGUAAUGGCUCACCAAGGCGUCGACGGGUAGCCGGCCUGAGAGGGUGACCGGCCACACUGGGACUGAGGCGCGGCCCAGACUCCUACGGGAGGCAGCAGUGGGGAACAGUGCACAAUGAGCGGAAGCCUGAUGCAGCAACGCCGCGUGAGGGAUGACGGCCUUCGGGUUGUAAACCUCUUUUAGCAGGGAAGAAGCGAAAGUGACGGUACCUGCAGAAAAAGCACCGGCUAACUACGUGCCAGCCGCCGCGGUAA
Molecule: ribosomal RNA, 484 nt
Filed under: uncultured bacterium
Lineage: Bacteria
Description: partial 16S ribosomal RNA
Rfam family: Bacterial small subunit ribosomal RNA
Source: RNAcentral